AAAUUGAAGAGUUUGAUCAUGGCUCAGAUUGAACGCUGGCGGCAGGCCUAACACAUGCAAGUCGAACGGUAACAGGAAGCAGCUUGCUGCUUCGCUGACGAGUGGCGGACGGGUGAGUAAUGUCUGGGAAACUGCCUGAUGGAGGGGGAUAACUACUGGAAACGGUGGCUAAUACCGCAUAACGUCGCAAGACCAAAGAGGGGGACCUUCGGGCCUCUUGCCAUCAGAUGUGCCCAGAUGGGAUUAGCUUGUUGGUGAGGUAACGGCUCACCAAGGCGACGAUCCCUAGCUGGUCUGAGAGGAUGACCAGCCACACUGGAACUGAGACACGGUCCAGACUCCUACGGGAGGCAGCAGUGGGGAAUAUUGCACAAUGGGCGCAAGCCUGAUGCAGCCAUGCCGCGUGUAUGAAGAAGGCCUUCGGGUUGUAAAGUACUUUCAGCGGGGAGGAAGGUGUUGUGGUUAAUAACC
RNAcentral lists this ribosomal RNA (471 nucleotides) under Salmonella enterica subsp. enterica serovar Infantis. Its description in RNAcentral is "partial 16S ribosomal RNA". It matches the Rfam family "Bacterial small subunit ribosomal RNA", at positions 1 to 468 of the family's 1533-position model. The record is from RNAcentral. RNAcentral also lists the same sequence under 58 other names. Lineage: Bacteria; Pseudomonadati; Pseudomonadota; Gammaproteobacteria; Enterobacterales; Enterobacteriaceae.